RNAcentral lists this transfer RNA (72 nucleotides) under Schistosoma japonicum. RNAcentral's name for it is "tRNA-Ser". The record is from RNAcentral. Lineage: Eukaryota; Metazoa; Platyhelminthes; Trematoda; Strigeidida; Schistosomatidae.
GGCUCAGUAGUUCAAUGGUAAAGCGCUCGUCGCGAAGACAGAGGGUCCUGGGUUUGAUCCCCAACGAGGUCG